RNAcentral lists this ribosomal RNA (429 nucleotides) under uncultured archaeon. Its description in RNAcentral is "bacterial SSU rRNA". It matches the Rfam family "Archaeal small subunit ribosomal RNA", at positions 474 to 903 of the family's 1478-position model. The record is from RNAcentral.
UACCAGCUCUCCGAGUGGUAGGGAUGAUUAUUGGGCUUAAAGCGUCCGUAGCCGGCUUAGCAAGUUUCCUGUUAAAUUCAGCGACCUAAUCGUUGAGCCGCGGGAAAUACUACUAGGCUAGGAGGCGGGAGAGGUCGACGGUACUUCUGGGGUAGGGGUGAAAUCCUAUAAUCCCGGGAGGACCACCAGUGGCGAAGGCUGUCGACUAGAACGCGCUCGACGGUGAGGGACGAAAGCUGGGGGAGCGAACCGGAUUAGAUACCCGGGUAGUCCCAGCUGUAAACGAUGCGGGCUAGGUGUUGGGGUGGCUACGUGCCACUUCAGUGCCGCAGGGAAGCCAUUAAGCCCGCCGCCUGGGGAGUACGGCCGCAAGGCUGAAACUUAAAGGAAUUGGCGGGGGAGCACCACAAGGUGUGAAGCUUGCGGUUC